Molecule: ribosomal RNA, 410 nt
Filed under: Barrowgammarus macginitiei
Lineage: Eukaryota; Metazoa; Arthropoda; Malacostraca; Amphipoda; Anisogammaridae
Description: partial 16S ribosomal RNA
Source: RNAcentral
GUAGCAUAAUCAUUUGGUUUUUAAUUAGGGUCUGGAAUGAAAGGUCAAACAAAUAUUAGUUUCUUAAUUGUAAGGAGAUAAUUUAAGGUUUAAGUAAAAACGCUUAAAUUAUUGUGGGACGAUAAGACCCUAAAAGCUUUAUCUUUAAAAAAUUUAUUUAUUUUUAGUUUUGAGUUUAAUCAAAAGAUUUGGCUGGGGUAGUAACUCUAAAAGUAUUAGGGUAGUUUAAAUAGUAUAAUUAGAUUAAGUCCCUUUAUAUUAAGGUUAUAUUUUUAGUUACUUUAGGGGUAACAGGGUAAUUAUUUUAUGGAGCUCUUAUCUACAAAAUAGAUUUCCACCUCGAUGUUGAAUUAAGGUUUCGACGUGAUGUAAAAGGUGCGCGCGGGGGUUUGUUCAACCUUUAAUUCCUU